UGCGGUAGUGGCGAAACUGGCAGACGCGCACGCUUGAGGGGCGUGUGGAGCAAUCCGUGCAGGUUCAAGUCCUGUCUACCGCAU
This 84-nucleotide transfer RNA is filed under the name Planctomyces bekefii. RNAcentral describes it as "tRNA-Leu". It matches the Rfam family "tRNA". Rfam says of the family: Transfer RNA (tRNA) molecules are approximately 80 nucleotides in length. Their secondary structure includes four short double-helical elements and three loops (D, anti-codon, and T loops). The record is from RNAcentral. Lineage: Bacteria; Pseudomonadati; Planctomycetota; Planctomycetia; Planctomycetales; Planctomycetaceae. RNAcentral also lists the same sequence under 1 other name.